GAUAGCUCAGUUGGCUAGAGCGUGACUCUGAUAACACCAAGGUUGAAGGUUCGAUCCCUGUAAGGGACA
Molecule: non-coding RNA, 69 nt
Organism: Podarcis lilfordi (Lilford's wall lizard)
Lineage: Eukaryota; Metazoa; Chordata; Lepidosauria; Squamata; Lacertidae
Source: the annotation of a GenBank genome assembly